UCUUCAAAGCCUUACCCACCUUACAUCUCAGUCAGCUUCCAGGAAUUCUUCUUCAGAAAUAUCCUCAAGAUCUAAAUUAAAGCCCGGAGACUGGGUAUACAGAAAGAGGCACCUAUGAAAGGAUGCACUACAAGUCAGGUGGGAUAGACCUCAUCAGGCGUUGCUGGUAAAUCCAUCUGCAGCAAAAUGAAAAGGAAUUGAAAGCUGGAUACAUUUAUCCCAUCUAAAGAAAGCCCCAACUCCCCAAAAUACAGCUGACCAGAUAAAGAAGAUAAAAGAAGUAUAAACUGCAGCAAAGAAGCGGUCUGGUACCAAAGGAGGAGUCUGCAGGAAGACAGAAGUCUGCAAGAGAGGAGGCUGAAGGCAUUAUCAAGACCUACCAGGUGUAAAAGAUUUAAGACUUUGGGAAAAUGGGGUAGUGUUUUGAUGGUUAGUUUUUGCCAAAGGCAGACUGCCUUCCUUUCUGGCUCAAUUGUCAAUGUCCGGGAGGCAUUGGGGAAUGCCCCCAAAUGUCAAUUGCCUGGGCCUAUAUCCCUAGGCUUUCCCACCAUUAGGGGAUAGAGUCCAAUCCCAUAUAGCAUUACUCAUUUGUCCAUUUGUUUGGUCAGCGAUGUUUGGUCUUGACCAAAAGGGGGGGUGUCAACAUGGAAUCUAGGAAUCCCAAACUUGUGACCUAGUGAGAUCUGAUGAACCCCAAUUUUCAGGACUAGCUUGUAGAUUGGAGACCCCAAAGCUUGUACUUGUUCCCUGUUCCCAUGGGAAUCUACCCUGAAAGGAAUCCCAGGCUAACAGCUUCAGACUGGGUGGGAGACUCUCAAGGAAUGAAGAUCCUGGUUGGGUGAGACUAAGCAAAUGCUAAGGACCCUCUUUGUUUUAGAUAGUCUCCCCUAUUGUAGCAGACCCUAUCCCAAGAAGAUCCACACCUGGGCAGGAACUGUCUUUUAGUAUCUAUUGUAAGUAGUUCUUAUAUCCUAGCCUCUAGCUAUUAUUCCUUUCCCAAGCUUGAUUGUAUCUAGUCAGUGUAGUUUGAACACCUCCAUUUUCUUUGUAGUUAUAGUGAUGUCAAUCAUCUUUCCUUGUCCCUGGACUCCCCAAAUGGUAGAUAGGUUCCCCAAAUUCUUUUGUUCCUUGGAGUCCAUCUUGAGUGGUGGCACUCCCAGGGGUCAGUGACCAGGGCGGCCAGAGUUCAGUCCUCAGACUUUGCAGUUGCAUGUGGUGAGCAGCUCUGUUGUUGAGGCCUAUUAGCGCUGAGGCCUAUUAGUUCUGAAUCCCUUUUGCCCU
This 1281-nucleotide long non-coding RNA is filed under the name Monodelphis domestica (gray short-tailed opossum). Its description in RNAcentral is "lncRNA (ENSMODG00000030532.2)". Lineage: Eukaryota; Metazoa; Chordata; Mammalia; Didelphimorphia; Didelphidae. The record is from RNAcentral.